RNAcentral lists this ribosomal RNA (201 nucleotides) under uncultured Sphingobacteriales bacterium. RNAcentral describes it as "partial 16S ribosomal RNA". It matches the Rfam family "Bacterial small subunit ribosomal RNA", at positions 1183 to 1382 of the family's 1533-position model. The record is from RNAcentral. Lineage: Bacteria; Pseudomonadati; Bacteroidota; Sphingobacteriia; Sphingobacteriales.
CGUCAAAUCAGCACGGCCCUUAUGUCCAGGGCUACACACGUGUUACAAUGGCCGGUACGGAGGGCAGCUACCUGUUGACAGGAUGCGAACUCUCGAAAGCCGGUCUCAGUUCGGAUCGGAGUCUGCAACCCGACUCCGUGAAGCUGGAUUCGCUAGUAAUCGCGCAUCAGCCAUGGCGCGGUGAAUACGUUCCCGGGCCUU